AAGUCGUAACAAGGUCUCCGUUGGUGAACCAGCGGAGGGAUCAUUACAGAGUUGCAAAACUCCAACAAACCAUCGCGAAUCUUACCCGUACGGUUGCCUCGGCGCUGGCGGUCCGGAAGGCCCUCGGGCCCCCCGGAUCCUCGGGUCUCCCGCUCGCGGGAGGCUGCCCGCCGGAGUGCCGAAACCAAACUCUUGAUAUUUUAUGUCUCUCUGAGUAAACUUUUAAAUAAGUCAAAACUUUCAACAACGGAUCUCUUGGCUCUC
This 264-nucleotide unclassified non-coding RNA is filed under the name Sordaria fimicola. Its description in RNAcentral is "partial internal transcribed spacer region". The stretch from base 1 to 46 matches the Rfam family "Eukaryotic small subunit ribosomal RNA", at positions 1786 to 1831 of the family's 1831-position model. The record is from RNAcentral. Lineage: Eukaryota; Fungi; Ascomycota; Sordariomycetes; Sordariales; Sordariaceae.